Pelobates cultripes (western spadefoot toad) is the source of this 228-nucleotide non-coding RNA. The record is from the annotation of a GenBank genome assembly. Lineage: Eukaryota; Metazoa; Chordata; Amphibia; Anura; Pelobatidae.
CUACAGCCCCAAGCUACACACUAUAGCCCAUAGCCAAACAUAUUACACCAUAAACACAGCACAAGUGAAACCGAAACACAAAACACCACACCACACCACAAUCAGUUCACUCUACACACGCAAUCCCAUGAGCAACCUCAAAACACUUGCACAAUCCUCUUCCUGGCCAUUCUGUCCCCUGUUAUCCCACUUAUGGGGACACCAGAGACAAGUUACAAGAAAAUGCAG